AGGACGAACGCUGGCGGCGUGCUUAACACAUGCAAGUGGAGCGACGAACCAGGGCUUGCCCUGGGGCAGAGCCGCGAACGGGUGAGUAACACGUGGGCAACCUGCCCCUAGCACUGGGAUAACUCCGGGAAACCGGGGCUAAUACCGGAUAUGACCUUUGAGGGCAUCCUCGAAGGUGUAAAGGAUUCUGGCUAGGGAUGGGCCCGCGGCCUAUCAGCUUGUUGGUGGGGUAAUGGCCUACCAAGGCGACGACGGGUA
This 258-nucleotide ribosomal RNA is filed under the name uncultured bacterium. Its description in RNAcentral is "partial small subunit ribosomal RNA". It matches the Rfam family "Bacterial small subunit ribosomal RNA", at positions 26 to 285 of the family's 1533-position model. The record is from RNAcentral.